UGGUUGGACGAGGUAAUAACUGUCUUUAUUUAAUUUAUGGUAGAAUUUAACUUUUGAGUUAAAAGGCUCAAAUUUAAUUGAUAGACGAGAAGACCCUAUAGAUCUUUAUUUAUAAGUUUAUAAGUUGUAUUUGGAUUGAUUUCACAGUUUAUGAUUUUAUGAAUUUUAUUGGGGUAAUAUAAAGAUUAAAUGAAUUCUUUGAAUAUUUAAACAAUAAUGAUUGAUAAAUUGAUCCAUUAGUAUUGAUUGUAAGAUUAAGUUAC
RNAcentral lists this ribosomal RNA (263 nucleotides) under Pseudotetracha oleadorsa. Its description in RNAcentral is "partial 16S ribosomal RNA". Lineage: Eukaryota; Metazoa; Arthropoda; Insecta; Coleoptera; Carabidae. The record is from RNAcentral.